This is a long non-coding RNA of Carassius gibelio (silver crucian carp), 3801 nucleotides long. RefSeq lists it as uncharacterized. The record is from RefSeq and is a predicted model, not a curated record. The transcript has 5 exons. NCBI's taxonomy places the organism in Eukaryota, Metazoa, Chordata, Actinopteri, Cypriniformes, Cyprinidae.
GUUAAAAAUAAAUAAAUGAAGAUUUCGCCUCGCGUCGCGGCGAUGACGUCAUCACCCGCGCGCUCACAACAACAGCCAGCGGCGAGUCUCGUGAGGCGAACAGUUCGCGAUUCUUCACGUGUUUACAUUAUUGUAAAGGACACUUAACCGUUAUUUAAGCAACAUUCAAAGAGCUCACAAGCAUUAAAUCAUCAUGAAGAAGAUAAAUCUGAAGAGACAGAGUUUACUGAAGAACAGAGAGAACAUGAGAGAUCUAGAACCCUGCAGAACCAAACACACUGAAGAACAAACGGCUUGUGUUUAUUCUUCAUCCUUCAGUAAUGAGGCUGAAGAACAAAGUUAUCAGCAGUUCAACAGAUUUAGGGUUUAUAUAAAUAAUAAUAUAAUAAUAAGUUUAAUCAAUAAAUAAUAUAGGCCAUACUUUCUCUCUCAGCGUACAGAAUAGCCACUGAAACGCUAAUUAUAUCCUGAUUGUGGUUAAGUGAAAAAUAUUGGUCAGUUAAUGAAUUAGUUUAAAACAGUUAUUAAUUAUCUAAUACAUUUUUAGUAUAGAUUAUUAGUAUUAAUAUUGUAUUUAUAAUAUGAUAUUACAUUUUUGUAGUUAAUCAAACAUCAUAUAGAUAUCAAUACAGAAACACUGGAUUUAUAUCUGUUUUUUUUUGGGGGGGGGGGGGUAUAGAUCAUUGAAUCAUUUUGUAAAAGUCUGUGAAAAUUAUUAUAAUGUUCUGUAGCCAUAGUCAACUUUUGCAUCAUAUUUCUAAAACUUAGGAAAAAAUUAUUUAUAAUGUAAGUAAAAAAAAUUUUACUUUAAUUUUAGAUCUGAUCGAGAAGAAACAUGUCAAAACUGGAGAAAAAUCUCUCACAGAGACUGAAAGAGUUUCUUUACUGAAGAGAAGAAACAAGAAAGUUUUACCUGCUCUCAGUGAGGAAAGAGUUUGACAUACAAACACAACCUCAGUGUUCACAUGAGGAUCCACACGGGAGAGAAACCGUACAAGUGUUCACACUGUGACAAGAGAUUCAGUCGGUCAGGAGACCUGAAAUCACACGAGAGGAUUCACUCUGGAGAGAAACCGUAUCACUGCUCUGCAUGUGGUGUAUUCCAGAAAGGAGGUUCAACAAACUCAGAGUUGAGGCGUCUACCAAAGCUUUGCUAAUGGGUAAUAAACUUAUUCCCCUUGGCAAAUGUACUUGAAAAGUCUUGGUUCCCUGCAUCACGAAUCGGGUGAGCUGGAAGUUUCCACAGAGUUGAAAUUUGCUCAGACUAAUGUGCGGUCACCUGCAAGCAAACAUUUAAUCUUAAAGGAUUUCUUUGAUUCUCAGAAUUUGAACAUUUUAUUUUUAACAGAGACCUGGUUACAUACAAGUGAUACUAAGUUUACUUUCUGAGUUGCUACCGUAUAACUGUGUUUUUAAUUCCCCGCGGGUCUCUGGUGGUUUGAACAAUAUUUUAAAAUGAGCUUGAAUUGUCGGACACUGCACACUACACAUUAUGCUAGUUUUGAGUUGUUUCAGUUGAACUCCUCAAUACUCUGUGCUGUGGUCUAUCGUCUAUCGUAAAAGUUUAGUAAUGGGGGACUUAAUUCACUUGAAAGUUCAUCUGUGUGUGUUAUGUAUGUAUUAUUUAUCGGUUUUUUUAAGAAGGCUUUGACUUCAAAUCAUUCUGUAAUGCCAGCAUAUGAGGAUUAAGAUUGCUAUAUUAUUCUCUCUAUUCUGCAUUUCACCUCUGUUGUAAUUUAUUUCUAAUAAACCUGACAUUGUAUAUUAAUUAUUGUGGUGACCGUAAGUAAUCAGGUGACGUUCAGCACCAUGUUCAGCAGCAUCAGUGCCACCCUGUGAUGUUCAGGACCAGGGAUAGCUCCUCCAACACAGGUGUGCACAGUUUCUCCUCUGACAGAGAGCCUCAGCUGCAUCUCGUUUAACUCUGCGUGGAGGACACUUGGUACACAGCAACCUACAAAGGGCUCCAACAUAACGAGAAAACCAGACAGAGAUUAUAGAAAAGCACUGAGCACUGUGAAUGUACUUUUGUGUAAUGUACUCCGUACCAUCCUGACCACUGUACUAAAUAAAGAUAAAUCUACCCUAACUUGAAGAUCUAAAUAACUCUAUAAUUGAUAUGCUAAAUAGAUGCUAUAAUAGUCUAUCCUGAUCGUUUUCAAUACUCGCAAAUCCAACUCCUGACUCACUACAGUGAUUUUGACGGAACAAGAUGGUUUUAUACUGCCAAGAGCGCGGUAGCUUGUACCAAGGGGUGUGGUGAGCUGGAAACUGCUUACGUCACCUGCCACCGCUUGCGUCACUUGCCACCGCAACAUCCAAUAGGAAAAAUCAACUGCAGUUGCCACCGUUCAACCUGAAGAGGGCAGCACUCAGACGUUUUUACACCAUAUAUUGUAGAAUUAAAACACUUUAUACUCAAAUGUCAAAAAAGUUACUCGAAACAAUGAGCAGCACUAAUAAAGCCCCAUUCUUAUAGAUCAUUAACUAAAAAAAGUUGGUUUAGGGUUUAGUUACUCUUUAAAAUAUAAACGUUAUGUUUAGUGCAAACAAGUAAUACAUUUGCAAUAUGAUUAUUGUUUUAACUGCAAUAAAAUAAUGUGUAGCUAGUUGAAAUUAAAUUCUUGCUGUAAAUAUAAAUAAAUAAAUGCUGUUUUUUCUAUGAUAAAAUAUCAAUGGGUAUUAUAAAUGAUUAAGCCUUCAUAUGUUAACAUAGAUUUAUAAAAUGGAAAGCAACCAGAGGUCAAAAACGCGAAAAGGCGAAAUGUAAAAAAGGACAAGUAAUAAGAUAAAUAUUCAUAUUUAACACUGUAAAGAAAACAUUCUGAUUGGAGCAUGUAAAUUACCAGUUUGGUAAGUACGUUUUAAAAACGUUGGAAGGAGAUAUACGAACGUGAUAAAAACGUUUAUAAAACGUUGUGAUAAAAACUAAUUUAUAAUGUCAAAAAAAAAAAAAAAAAAAAAAAAAAAGAAACGAAAAAAACCCCCAGACAUUUUGAAGCUGAGGUCGAGGAUUGUAUUUAUUUUAAACUAAAUUAUGUAUUGGUUGAAUUUUUUAUUCUAUAUGUGUAUGUGUUCAAGACACAUCCAUUGAAGUUAAUUGUAAUUAAUCUAUCUCUCCCUGUGUUAUAAAUUAAUUUAUUAAACAUUUGAUUUUUAAAUUAAAGUCAAAACAACUGAAAAACGAGACUUUGCCUGCUUUAUCUUAACUGUUGAAUAAUUGUUGAAAAAAAACGUUAUCAUGACAUUUUCACAACGUGAAAAAAAAAAAAAAAAACGUUUUUACACCGUUGUUGUAUUUGUUGGGUAAUAACGUCUUUUAUCGAGCAUGAGGAGGUGAAUGGUGCUUCUCAAACAGAAAGAUGCAUCCUGAAAUUCAGAUGAUCAGUACAGACUCGUUUUCUUUCAGCUUAUUUUCGUGAAUUUAAAAGCUUGCAUCCUUCCGUUUGAGAGACGCCCAGAGAUAAGCUUCGACUCUUGAUUCCAAACGGCCCGGAAUUCCCCACAUUCCCACAUUUCCCGACUGCAGCGAGGACACAGCGCAGACAGCAAGAGAGAAGUAGCUCGUUCGAUUUGAUCCACUUUAUGUCCUAGAAAACAUUUAUACAGGGUACGUCGAUCAGCUGCUCGAAGAUCUCACCUUUGGAGAAGACUGUUGAUUUGACACUAAAAAUAUCCUCUCGCUGGCUCUGGGGUCACUGAGGAUGAAGAGACCACAGCAACACCCGGCUCAGAUGAGACAGUAAGGGCAGGUGGAGUGAUGGAGCACCUCAUCUGUGUCACUGGACCAUUUCUCCAUCC